CCGUCGCCGUCGCGCCCGCCGAAUACGAUGGCCCCGCGUAUGUUCCGUACGCACUCGGAUAUGCGUAUUGUUACCACUGCAACGGCGGUGAAUCGGUCGGGAUAUCGCGUUUCGCGAGCGGCAUAACGGUAAUAAAUACAACGGGUUUGAAAUAUAAAAUCGGAUAAAAACAUCGCGCCGACACACACGGGACGCAUCGGUAUAAUGAUACAACGGCGGCUGCGAUAACCGUUCCGUUUUUCGUUUAUAAUGGCGCGCGGCUACGAAACACUAUUAACAAUAAUAAAUACGCGCGAGUGUACGUUACACGGGUACGCGUGUAUGCGCGCGUGUGUUACGUGCACCGUACCCGAUACGCGGCGGCGGUGUGUCGUUCCUGCCGCCAAUAAUACGACGGCUAUAUUAUUUUUGUUG
Cinara cedri is the source of this 414-nucleotide non-coding RNA. The record is from the annotation of a GenBank genome assembly. Lineage: Eukaryota; Metazoa; Arthropoda; Insecta; Hemiptera; Aphididae.